RNAcentral lists this ribosomal RNA (450 nucleotides) under uncultured bacterium. RNAcentral describes it as "partial 16S ribosomal RNA". It matches the Rfam family "Bacterial small subunit ribosomal RNA", at positions 354 to 796 of the family's 1533-position model. The record is from RNAcentral.
GUGGGGAAUUUUGGACAAUGGGCGCAAGCCUGAUCCAGCAAUGCCGCGUGCAGGAAGAAGGCCUUCGGGUUGUAAACUGCUUUUGUACGGAACGAAACGGUCCGGGUUAAUACCCUGGGCUAAUGACGGUACCGUAAGAAUAAGCACCGGCUAACUACGUGCCAGCAGCCGCGGUAAUACGUAGGGUGCAAGCGUUAAUCGGAAUUACUGGGCGUAAAGCGUGCGCAGGCGGUUUUGUAAGACAGGCGUGAAAUCCCCGGGCUCAACCUGGGAAUUGCGCUUGGGACUGCAAGGCUGGAGUGCGGCAGAGGGGGAUGGAAUUCCGCGUGUAGCAGUGAAAUGCGUAGAUAUGCGGAGGAACACCGAUGGCGAAGGCAAUCCCCUGGGCCUGCACUGACGCUCAUGCACGAAAGCGUGGGGAGCAAACAGGAUUAGAAACCCGAGUAGUCC